Molecule: ribosomal RNA, 460 nt
Filed under: uncultured bacterium
Lineage: Bacteria
Description: partial 16S ribosomal RNA
Rfam family: Bacterial small subunit ribosomal RNA
Source: RNAcentral
GACGAACGCUGGCGGCGUGCUUAACACAUGCAAGUCGAGCGGUAAGGCCUCUUCGGGGGUACACGAGCGGCGAACGGGUGAGGAACACGUGGGUGGCCUGCCCUCAGCUCUGGGAUAAGCCUGGGAAACUGGGUCUAAUACCGGAUAUGACCUUUCCUCGCAUGGGGUUUGGUGGAAAGUUUUUUCGGCUGGGGAUGGGCCCGCGGCCUAUCAGCUUGUUGGUGGGGUGAUGGCCUACCAAGGCGACGACGGGUAGCCGGCCUGAGAGGGCGACCGGCCACACUGGGACUGAGACACGGCCCAGACUCCUACGGGAGGCAGCAGUGGGGAAUAUUGCGCAAUGGGCGGAAGCCUGACGCAGCGACGCCGCGUGGGGGAUGACGGCCUUCGGGUUGUAAACCUCUUUCGACCCCGACGAAUUUGGACGGUAGGGGUAGAAGAAGCACCGGCCAACUACGUG